GGUAGGCCACGCGCGAGGGCCGCGCGGCGGCGGCGGGGGGUGGGGAGACCUUGCUCGGCCCUCGUGUCUCUGAGGUAAAAAAGCUCGUUUUUUGCACCCCUGCGGCGUGAAGGGGCUCGUGUAAGUACCCUGAAAGGCGGCUGUUUGCCCUGGGGCUGAGAGUGCUGCUGUCUCUACUGGCCGGCAGGUUUUUUUCUGUAGAAAUGUGUCUUUUAACCUUAGGAUAUGGGAAAUAGGGGCACAGGUCCCUGAGAGGAGAAGCAGAGUGCAGUCAGGAAAAAAAAUUGCUAGUGCCCAAAGCAGAAAAAGUUUUUUAAGCUUGCUCAUCUACGUUGUGGUGGCAACGGGAUAACUCCACGAAGAUUUGGAUCUCCAGAGACUGCUGAGGCUGAUACUCAGUGGAAUGGAUGAAAUGUGCAUAUCACUCUGAACUUCGGCGUCUGGAUCUGAGGAAGGUCCUUUCAUUCACGCUGCUCUCCAGUUAUGAAAGAAACUGUUAUGGCUCAAAUUUGGCAGGCUUCAGAAAAAUUCCAGCAGUUCAAAUGCAUUCAAUUAAUAUGCUGAAUAUUGACUCAUUGCUUACUCACAUGAUGAACAUUUAAAUUACGCUUUCUCAUUUUCAAAGCAUAUUAUAAAUAAGGUUUAAUCCUCGCAGCCUGAUGAAGUCACUUGGCAUCAUUUCCUCCUACUAAUGGAAGAAAAGUUUAUAGGAAAAAGUAGUAUCUUUUAUUAGAUGUUGUUACUGCUUUCAGAUUUAUUUCAUGGAAGUACUCCUGUAAAUUUGCACAGUUAGCUAAUGAAAAAAUAGAAGUACUGAUUGUAAUCCCAGGUGAAUAAGAGCAGAAGAGAAGGCUCUACAGUUUAGUGACUUUAGGCUCUGGCCAGCUAUCGCCUGUCUGUCCAGGAAAAAAAAAAAAAGUUUGAAGGGACCUUGCCAAGAUGUACGGGUAACUCUUGGACACAGCAGCACAAUGUAACUUUGACAGUGAGGUAUACUGGUUAUUUCUGACAAACUUCCGUGAUAGCAUAUCUCUUGAGACUGCUUAAAGGACAAGAUUGUAUAUUCCAGCUUAGCAAAGGAAUGGGUGCGUCUUUUCUAGAAGUUAUUCACACCGAAAGUCCCAGUUAGCAAAUGUUUUUCAUGCACUGUCGCUUAAGGAGAAGUUACAGGGAAAAGCACAACAAACCUAUCUAAUCGAGGACCAGAAAUGGAGAGAGGGAGUCCUGACGGGGCAUCAGAAGGUGCAAGGAAACAAAGGAAAGAAACGGAAUAAGGGAACAAAUAUCUUCCAAAUCUGUCUUUGGCAACUGCACAGGCAAAAUUGCCAAGUUAUCCAGUUUGACAGGGCACUCGUUUACUAGUUAUUUGAUUGCAUUACAUUAAAGAAAGAUAGUUAUUUUCUACAGAACGCAUCAUAUGUGUAUCCUGAAGUAUCUCUGGAUUGGAGGAACCCCUGUGUUACAUACUCAGAAAAGAGGCAUUUUGGAACAGAAGCUACUGUUUUGGAAAGCCCAUCGCCUGUCUGAGAGGAGAAGGUAACUUUCUGGUGAGAAAUAUCCCUUCUCUGUACCCCUAAACAUACCAAGCACUGCCAAGAGGAACAUAUACACAAAGGUUUCAUAAAGGGCACUGGGAUCCUCACUGUCAAGUAACUGGAUUGAUGAGAGCUAUAGUACACAAUACUAUGCACAUGCUCAAGCAGAUACAUAAAUGUGGUAUUGAAGGUGAGAAAGAAGACAAAGCUCUGCGGAUGAGAGAGAGAGAGAGAGACAGACAGACAGACAAGGAUGAGGGUAGCGGAGUGCUCCUCUGGCUCCUGUCUUGUGUGAGUACAUAGCUGUACUGAAGUCUUCCAACAAUUCAACUUGAGUCCCGGUUUCAUGGGGAACAGCCCUUGAGAUGAAGAUUUCCCUGUGGAUUUAGCAGCAAAGCAAGUGCAUUAGAGAGAGACGCAACGCAGACCUUCCUCCCAUAAACGUGCACCAUCCGGGCGUACAGAAGUGGUACACGGGCGGAUACCCUACCCUGCCGUGGGUCACCGGCCGUGCCCACGUGGCUUUUGCAGGUGCUCCCCGUCACUCGGGACACUCCAACCAAGCCACCUUCACCUCGAGACGUGGUUUCGACCAGCCAGCCUGGCGAGUUGGCCAGCUCUGCCCCGGAGUGUGAACGUGCUGUGGAUUUUCUGCUGUUCUUGGGACCGUGGCUUUCCUAAGCCCAUGUCUGCUGGUACACAGGCAGCGAUGAGAGCUCAGAGAAGGCAAACUGCACUGCUAAAGCAUCUCUGUGCUGAUAAUUCAGCUGUCCUCUCCAAUUAUUUCAUUCUUUGCAGAAAGGCCACAAAGCCUGGAGGACAGGCAAUGUUUGGAAGAUGCCAUCUUUGGAAGAUGCAGUGCUUGGAAGAUGCCAUCAGUAUUUAGACAGCACCAAGUUCCCAGGCCCUCGUGUAGCUCACAGACUCAGUAAGCUUGUCUGAUAUAGUGAAUAAAAAUGCAAGGAAGCAACAAAUUUGGACCACCUGUAUGACCUGCCACAUGGGCAGGUUGUCGCUGGCAUCUUGGUGGGUGGAACCGAUUUGCAGGAGGUGUGUGGAGCAAGGUCUCACCAGGGCCUUUGCACAAAGCUCACCUCGAGCCCCCGCUAACUUCGCCAGCAAGCUCUCCGUGCGUGCUCGUGGCAGUGCCCGACUUGCGAGGUGGAUACCUGCCACCUGAGAACAAGCGGUUGUUGUUUACCCACAAGCAGAGCUGGAGAUAAGCCUAGAGUAACAAAGUCCUGCCCUGAGGAGCUUUUUCCCCAAUUCUCGCGUGCACAUCUGUACUCUAGCCUUUUAUUUUUGCAUGGAUAUUCCAGAGCAUUCAAGUAUAAGCAUGGUAAAACACUUGAAAGGUGACAUUAUUUAUGGAUUUUCAGACAGCCUCCUGUGUGCUACUGACUUAUGAACACACCUAGAAGCUCGAGAGCCUGUAUUUUUUUCAAAGGACGGGGGCCGCUUGCACAUGGGAAGCCGUCUCCCGAGCACCCGCGUUUUGCAAGCAAACCUGACAAUAGCCCGCGAGCCGCAAAUUGUGCUUGUGCCUCCACUGCAUUUCGUUGAAAACACCAACACAAAGCUGGCCGUAAAAUAAAGAAACAUUCGUUAUGAUUUUUACGGCUCCCAACUACUGUAAACUGUGGAGGAAUAGAGCUGCAAAGCUGGCCAUUAAACUGUCUGCUCUUUCCUGUUUAAACAAGGCCUCUCCAGGGUUUUAGCUGCCUCAACCACUGUGGGUCAACAUCCAGGAAGGAAGACGUUUCUAAGGUAACCACCGAGGCCUUCUACCAAGGUGGCUCCAUGAAAGCGCUGAACGGGUGAGAGUGACAAAAAGCAGUUCAUUGGAUAAUGUAGAAGAAGAGCAUUGAGAUGGAUCUGCGCUUACGGAGCGGCGACGCGCGGGACUCGACGGAGGGGCUCCCGGAGCAGCCCGGGAGGAGCGCAGCAGGACCAGCCACCGGGCACUCGGCCGCCAGCGGUCCUGUUAACCGGGAUAUCAAUACAAGGCUGCAAUACAUUGCCCCAGCCAAAAUAACCCCUGGGAAGUUGCCCCUGUUCUGAGCAGCAUUUGGUGCUUCUGUGAUAUACGAUACCCAGGCAUCAUCCUCCCCAGAUCAGGCCACUAGGCUUGAAAUGAUAAAUGUCAUAUGAAAUUUUAAUUCAUCAUAUUUAAUUCCUGUUAAAUGCUCCAGUGAGUACUGGAAAUCAUUAUUUUCUCCUUUCCCUCUUUAUCCCCAGAAAGGCUUUUACCAGGGCAAAUGAGCAAGUGUUUCGCAGUCUUUUCCAUUAUGAAGGAGUUUCUUCUGUAAAAAUGCAAGUGUGGACCAGAAGAAACGAAAUCGCCUUAGCAUUCUGAUUCAAGGUACUAAAAAAUAAUUAAAUGGUCAUUAAUGCCAUACAGGCAGGGUGGGACAGCACAGUGAAUCAGAUGAAAUUUUAUGACAAGAGAAUAUGUCAUAUUUCUGUUUGUUUUAACAAAACAUGAAUUUGAGGUUAUGUUUCUCCUGCAGUUAAUCUGAAUUUCUGUGUUUGUUUUAUUAUCUGUCCUUGGGGCAUGGGCAAAGUUUUACCUGAUUAUCUAGAGUCAGCACAGACAGACAUAACUUCAGGCUCCUUAAGAGCUGCAGAUGGGCUCCUUCCGCGUCCUGGCAGGAUCUGCAGCCGCGAUCAGGUAAACGCCCAGGGGGUUAGAGCAUCUGGUGACCUGUUCCAGCAUUCACAGAAAAAACACCAAUCUUUCCUUGUAAUGACACUACCUAAGGACCAGUCAGAAAAAAGAGGGCUGGCAGGCAGAAGAGAAAAGCACCGAGCGCCUCUGCAUUUCAUGCUGUUUCAGAUGCACCAUCUCUUGUUAAUUUUUCUCCUUGCAACGUCUUUGGGUAGAAAUACGCUCGGGUGUAGCAGGAGAUGCUGCAUGCCAUGUGCAGGACCACGCUGCUCCGGCCACGGGGCAGCCAGGGAGUGCUGAGGCCUCGCAGGGAGGCACCUGGCUGCGGUCCCCACUGUUGAAUUUACAUACAAAAAGGGAACUCGUGAGGUCUCAGGAGCUGACGGACCAGCUGAAUAAAGGGUGUGCGAGGGCUGGACUCGCUGCAGGAGCUUCAAACGGCAGCGCUGAGCUAUCCCAACCUGCGCUCUGCGAGCAGCACGGGUGACAUCCCUUUCUGACUCCUUGCAAGGAUGCCUCAGAAAAUAACGCGGCGCGGAGUCAGAGCACCGAUUGCAUAGGCUUGCCCUGGUUUGCAUUCAGGUCUGCAAGGGCAGCCUGGGAAAAGUUGCUCAUACAAGAUUCACGAGGCUGCUGGGCUAAGUUUGGAGGAAAACAGCUUCCAGAUUGAACACCAGAUUGCCGUUGCACAAUGAGUAGAAAACACAACCUUUAUUGCAUGAACAUAAGUAACACUGGAAAGUACGAAUCACUUGGGAGCCAGGCCCUUUAUGCAGCUUUUGUUUGCGAUAGUCUUCUAUCAUGUCUGAGCAAAAUUUUAAGCAAAGAGAAUCAGAAACUGAUAUUUUUUAUGGUUUUUAUUUUUUCCUGAGGAAAGGUAUUACGCUAUUCACUUUGGCUGCACUUCCCACCCUGCAGAAAUUAUUUACCCAAGUGCAGCAGCAAAGUGGGUCAGGGGGAAUAAAAAAAGGCACUGCACACAGAAAUCCUGAAUCUCUUGCAAAAGUUGGAUUAAGACUCAAGCUACUGUUUAAUGAGCGCUUGCCACGUUCUCUAUUUUGAGGGAAAGGUGUCAGCUCAGACAGCGGGGCAAAAAGCCUGCAGCAUUUGAGCUGUCAAAUCACUCUCCCCUGGUUUGCAAGGCUAGCCACAAAGCAGGCAGCAGCAAGGAGGAUUCCUCUCUCCAAGCCCCUCUGCCUUUGCUGCUUUUCUGCAGUUUCUGCCGCAAACUGCUCCGUUUAGGUUUAAUAGUACAGUCACAUCUUUUCCCGACUCUCCGAAGCGAAGGAAGCUCGCUUUCCCGAGCCCCCGGAGUGAACUGGGGGGCACACAGAUAGCAUCAGCUGCUGUGGGUCCCGCACUAGAAAAAUAAAGAGCUCAGGUUGCAAAAAAGUGAGCUAGGGCUGAAACCUGAGAGAAGCGGGUAGUCUGCCUGACAGCUCCCUGUAGCUCCAGCUUAACGAGCAAGGCUGCAGCCAAACCUUGGCCUAGCUUCUUGCAACAGGAAAAGGCACUUUGGUGCAGCUGGGAAGACUGGAACGCACACUCAUAUAAAACGGUAUUUGCAGAGUAACCAAAGAGAAGACCGUAAUGUUUGUGAAAAGCAGUUUGUGCAGAUGAGCAGGGAAACACAGGCAAUACUGGUACUUCAGCUCAGCAAGAUCUAUCAGUAAUAAACCAGAAAUGGAAGAUACUGGAUGAAUUUUGGAAAGGCUGUUGGCAGAAGGGUGUUUUUCCCACUUUAACAGCAGGAAUCCAGCCAAAAAAGCACGGUCCAUUUCUUCUUCCACUAGUCCACUAAAACCACUGUCUUAAUCCAGAAACACUUCAGGUGGUGCCAUAUGUGGUUAUUUAUUUGUGUCGUUUGGUGCUGGCCAGCGAUCCGACUGGCUCACAAAGAAGCAGUAGCACAAUUUCCACCUCCAGUGGCUUCCUACAUGGAAAAGGCAGGCAAAGGAAGCACUACUAUCCCGUGGGAACGGGUGCACCAAGCAGGUGAGACAACAGCGGUGGGAUUUUCAAAAUUGCUCUGAGCUGAACAAAGUCUGUUCUCACUGAGGUGAACUGGAGUUUUAUUCCUGGUAUCCUUAGGAGCAUCAUGACCAGGGACAGGUACAGCCAGGGAGCAGACAGGGCUGCGUGGUGUCAGGAGCUGUACACCGAGUAGGAUGUGGCCAGCAGAGAUCUACUGGAUCCCAGCCUUCAGAAAUCUGCCCUUGAUUAAGCCAGCAAAGAGUGUCUUGAAAAUGACCUUGCAAGUGGCCUUCGCAAGGUGACCAGCACAUCGGGAGCAUUGCCACGCAGAGCACCCACCUGUCUUAACUCUCAGAGCAAAACCUUAAGGUCAAAAACCCAAAGUCAAAGCUGGAAAUGGUGGAUAGCUUCUGAGCUAGUACAAACUGACCUUCAGCCAGGAAAGUGGGUAGCUUUCUGGGGCAAGAGGCCUGUUUUUUGCAAAAUGAAAUUCCAAAAUGACUCCAGAGUCUGCUUAUUAAGACCAGAUUUGUUCUUUCACUUCCAUGUGAGUCAAUUGUUCGGCUGCUUCUUUUCCUUAGGUGUUUUCACGGCUACUUAAUGAAACCCUCCCACCAGCUCCUCACUUGAAAAGGAGGAAUUCAGACAAGUUUGGAGAGUCCUCAGGGAAAAAAAAAAUAGCUGGGCUCCUCUUCUGAUCAUAUGCUUUCCUAACACCAUAGACACGAUGGUGGUUUCCACAACGUGAUUAGACCCAGAGGUGAGACCAGUGGGCAAACUGGAAAAUAUCAUUCGGCUUAUCCCAUGUGAUCUUUCCUCACCAAAAUGUUUCCAAACCAAGAUGUGUGGUAUGGAGCAGCCUCAGAUUGCUCACAGAUGUCAGGAUAAAGCGAAGAAGUUCAUUUCCGGCUGUGAAGGAAAGGUCACAGAGGACACAGCUCAUGCAAAUCUCCACUGGUUCAUGUGUACCCGGCAAACAUGAAGGAAGGCUUUUAUCGUGCACUUUUUCCAUGCAGACAGCACGUUUCACAACUCUGAUUUGCAUUAGGGUGAGUUUAAAUGGGUACUCAACCUUAGACACUCUCUGGCUUCUAAAAUAUUUUUCAAGUGUUUUUUCCCCCUGAAUUUUUCAAAGGUCGGCUCUUAAAGGUGAGUAAUUUCCAAAGUGGCUAACUGUGCAAACCGAUCACGGCAGAAGGUCCGAGUGGGAAAACGUACAGCCGGAGGAGCAGUAAGGCUAUAUAUUUUGCAGUGUUUGGACUGUUUGUGAGCGUAGCCUGCGUCAGCAGUCUGUUUUCUCCCAGGCAAGAACAGAUAUUUCAUGCAAACUUUGCCAUCCUGUUCUUGUUUCCUGUGUAUAAGAAAUGACCUGAAGGCAGAGAAGGAGACAAUGCAGAAAAUUUUGAUGCAUGAAGGGUACUAACAAGCCAGGACUAUUUUAAAAGAGCACUUUUCAGCAUCUAAAUUAUUUAGCAGCCUGUCUAGUGGAGGCAGGGAAAGGGAGAAGGUCACUGGCCUACUGUGAAAAAUAAGCAGCUGCGUGGUAGGAGCCAACAGGGAAGGGUACUUGCCAUUUAACCACAAUGAGGAAGAGGAAGACAAAGACUUUCUACCCAAAGCGUGUUGGUGCACAUAUGUCGUUCUGCAGAUGUGUGAUGCUUCAGAGCAGGGCCCUAUUAAUGGUGGCUAGCUCUACUUGACACCAUGGCAUUAUCCAUGCAUCCCUACUACAAGGGUUUGUAGACUUGUUUCUGGAAUCUGUCCUGAAGACAGGCAUUCGGGAGUUUUGAGGACUACUCAGUGCUGAUGUCUUUGCUAUCAACAAAACAGUCUAUCCACAAGACUUUCUUGCUGUGGGUACCACCUGCCACCGGUUCUCAUUUUGAUAUUACCCUUUUCACCCCUUCUCCUUGCAUUGCACACCUGAAUCCUUUUAAAACUCAGCAGCUCCAACCAAAUGUGAGUCUAUUUCUUUUUUAAACAUAAAGAUUAAAAAGCCUGUUCAGAACAUAUAGCUGUGAAGUACUUUCCUUUGCUGGAAGUUCCUCUCUGAAAACCAGCUGAGCUUUUCUGGGGCUGACAGCCUGAACUAAAGCCAGUCGAAGCUCAGCAUGCCUGCAAACAACGCCUUGUCUUCUGUAGGGACCAAAAGUUGAACAGGCCGCAUUAGACCUAGCAGAGUCCUCCCUGGGAGCAGACACAAAGCUGGUAUCUGGACUGCAUAUGGCCAAGAAAACCCUGGAGGAUGCUUGCAAAGUAGUGCACUGCAUCCUCUAGUCCAGACCAAACUGCAGCCGGGGAUUCAUUUCAGCAGCUCUGGAGUCGGCGACUUCUGUUCGCUCAGCUUCUCCCCAUCCAUCAUUCACUCUGGCCUUCUCCUCCUCCUGUUGCAUGUGCUUUCUUUGAGACCGCCAUAGAUUUGCAGUUCAGCCACAGAUGAACUGUCCCGUAUCCACGAUGUGUCAGUGCUUUGGGAUCUUCAGGGGAAAAAUGCCUAGAAACAUUCACCAUCGUCGUCGUUUUUGCUGUGUUUGCUGCUCAUUCCCAGGGAAGCAACAGAAGUGUCUCACACAGUAAUCCCUGAUAAACCAUCAACAAAUGCCUUCUUUUUUCAAUAAUUUCCCGCAGGAAUAGCACACACUUCUUGCUCCUUUGGCUGGUGGGGCCGACAGAGCCGUGUCCGUGUGUGUAAGCGGCAUGGUCUUAUGAGCACCAGUGCAGGGCUCAUUAUAACCCGAGUGAAAACAGAAAAAGGUAACUGGGAAAUAGAUGUCAGCAGUGCUUCUAAUCAUCGCAGGCCUCCUUUGACACAUGUUUUUAAUUGCUUUAAAAAAAAAAGGAAAGAAAAGAAAUAAAACCAGUUAUGAAUAAUCUAAUAAGCUUACCAACCACCUGUGAAACGUGGCUUCCCAGCUGCACAAAAUCAAACGCAAGAAUAGAAAACAGAGAGUUCUCCGAGGCAACACACAUUCGCAUUAGACGCGCGUCAUUCCAAAGCCACAGCAGAAAAAUGCAUUAAUGCCAUUUUUGGCUCACAGUGUACAUGCCACUCUGUAAAAGUAUCUCAGAGGAGUGUUUACUUAAGUAACACAGAGAAUCUGCUUUAAAGUCAAAAGGUAGAGGUGGGGGAAGAUGGAAGAGGGAAACCUGCUCAUUGGCAUCAUUUCAAAUGAAAAACUUCAUCAAGAAAACCCCACAUAGCAUUAAUUUGAGGGACUGCAGUCCGGGAGGCAAGUUUACUCAAGAAUAGUUAAGCAUAUUUUCCUGGUACUGAGGAGUAAAUGCUCAAGCAAAACUAAAAUGCAGAGGGCUCUAUAGACACGGCUUUAUUCAAGAAGCAAUUUGUUUUCCUGGUAUGAAAAGAGAUUUAUGUUCACUGCAUUUUGGAGCCACCCAGCAAAUAUCCUCAUGAAGCUGUUUUUCAUGGGAAAGAGCUGUUUCUUAGAAGGAAAAAGGUAACAUCCUGACAUGGAGGAAAAAAAAUUAACUCUAUUUUCAAGGCAGUUUUGACAUGUUUUUCUUCUACACAGAAACAGACUUCAAAUACAGCUUCUUAACCACUACAGCUAACUGACCCACCCAGAGAACUCUUUUUCCACAAACAAUAUAGCGUCGGGAGAAGGAGUCUGAGAGGAAAAGCAAACAGUCCUUAAAGUAUCUACUUUAUUUGGAUAGUUCUGAACCACUGACAUUGGGGGCAGGUUUUAAGUCGGUGGGCGUGAGGAGAGGAAAGCUCAUGGUUUUGAUUUGAAGGAGCCACAUCAAAACCUGUUUUAGUAAAUGGAAUGGCAGUAUUUUGAAAAAUACAUCCUUCUUAAGGGGAUGUUAGGGAAAACAAUCCCAUGGCCUGUUGAAUAAUAAAAGCCAAUGUGUUAGUAGAGGAGAAAAAAAUAGCCUGCAAGUGAGAUUCUUGGAUCAAUCCGACUUGUACCUUCCCUGGUCAGAGUAAUAUCUGUUAGGCAAAGGAAAUCAUUAUACAGAUGUGGUACUGGUGGGCAGAAAAGGGUCAGUGAGCAGGAGAGAGGUCAAAAAUAUAUAUAUUUUUUCUUUCUUUCCCACCAAAUGGGCUGCAAGACUGGAGUCCCGCACACCAUGUUGGGAAGAUGCUAUGGAAGCAGCUGUCCCGCUCUGGAUGGAGCUGGUGCCCCCAUCACCGAUUCACCUGCCCAUCCUGUCCAUGCACCUUCUGCAGAGAUUACAUGUCUGGGGACAGGAGGAGUAGGGCUUAGCUGGGGGCUGUGCUAGGAUGCUACCCAUCCUGCAGCAAGGAAUACUUUGAGAAGAAGACAUGGGAUAAGCCAAGUCAUAUUUGCCAGUUUGCCCACUGGUGUCACCUCUGGUUCCAUCACUUCAUGGAAACCAACACCACAGCUAUGGUGCUGUGGGUGCAACACCGGGAUGGCAUGGAAAAUGAGACUUCCGUAGUCCUUGUCUUCAGCUGUCCCACGCAUUCCUGGUAACUAUGUUGUAAUCCUCCUGUGUAGUUUAAUUUGGGGAUUGUGUUUCAUUUCCAUGCUAUCCCUGUGUUGCACUGUUCUCACCCCUGGAUAGCUGCCUCCUACAUCUGAAGGAGCUUUUUAAUUUUUUAUGAACCAUUUUGCACACUUCCACAGGUAAGCAAAAGCGAGAUGAAAAGUCGUCCAUGUCUUCUGCGUUGUUGGAGGCUUCUGGGGGAGGCCAGCAAAGAGCUGCUGCUGUGCGGCAGGCCAGUGCACUGGCCCAUUCUGUGCCAGAUCAUGAAGUUACCGGCAGAGGUAGCCAGAGAUCGGCAGUCCAAUUCCAGGAAGAUUUCUGAGGUUUGGAAAUGUGUUUUCAUUCCGGUGUAGAAUGAGAACUAAACCUUUCAAACGUUUCCCUGAAAUGGAUUUGGUUUUUGUUGUUGUUGCCAUUGAGACAUCUGUUUUCAGAUGGAGAAGAUCAGGGUUUUCAUUUAGAUCCUUCUCCGCUUAUAAAUUGACCCUAGAAACUCUGAAACCUUUCCCAUGGAAGUAUUAUUAAUGGGACCAUCUCACUGUGAAACAUUUUGGUUUGGAGGAAGCAGCCUUUUCCAACAACAAUGACAACAGAUCUCAUUAAAAUGUUUGAGUGGCUCCAGUCUUAAUAGCAGCAAAUGGUUCAUCCAGCAUCUUCAGGUCCUGCAGCAUGAAACGCGAUAACAAUGUGACAUUAUUGCCACCCAUCAGAUAGGCAAUAAUACGGUAUUCACUUUGCAUAUCUGUAAGGGCCCUAUGUCAAUGGGUCAUUGUUUGGAACAGAUCUCUUACAAAAAUGGGAAAAGGGAAAUACCAUGAAAUACCUCCAAACUUUCAAUGCCAUUUAACAAAGAUGCAUUUUGGUCAUUAAUCACACACAUACAGGCAAGCUCUCAGAAAAGUCCAGCUGUUCCAGGCCACAAUGCUUUCUUUUAUUGCUUUAAGCGUCUCCCUGCUAACAAGACAACUUCAACACAUGAUACCCAAGAAGGGCCAUAACGCCUUAUUCCCAACCUAAUCGUUGUGACAUUGUUUCAAAUGGAAAAGUUCAUGGACUUACUGCCUUUAAAAGUCCCAGUGCAGCCUAAUUAUCUUCUGAAGUCUUUUGUACCAGUGCUAUCCGAUUUCAGACCAGCGUGGCGUUUACCGGGCAGCUCCCAGGAUAGCCUGGAAUCUCCAGGGAAUACGGAAAGUGAGCUCUUGUUUUUCCCUCAAAAUCUGCACAGAAAGCACGUGCUGAGAAUGGUUAUGGAUGCCCCUCUUCAGAGAUAUCCUUUUGGGAUAGGGUAGCAUGCGUAACAAGCUCUGCAUGACUUCUCGUGCAACAUGGUCCUUUCUGUUUCUGACCACGCAGCCUCCCGCACGGCUUUCCCGUGCCUAUAGCUGCUCGCGGCCGCCUCCUCUUUUGGCAUCGCCUCUCCCCAUCACUGCCGUAAAGGGGCUAAAUUCACCACUGCUCAAACCCACCGCUUUUGAGUGGGUUUAAAAUUUCUCAGGCCACAUUCCUACCUCCUCUCGUUUCCGGACUCUCAAGAAUUUGCCACACAAACAUAUUCCUUCCUUUUAUUUGUUUCUUCCAAGUAAUUAGACCAGGGAUUGUUUGCUACCUGUCAUACCUUCAUUUAAGUCAUUUGGGAACAAAGUGAGAAAAGAAAAAAAAUGAGAGCCUCUCAGUGGAUUAAGACUGCUGAUUGUAGUAACAAGAGGAGGUAUUUUAAUGACAGGUUUAAGACUUGCUAAGUAACUGCCACGAGGAUUAUGAAUAUAUUUUGUAACAGGGCAAGAUUAACAGAUAAUCCUUUAAAGAAAAAGAUGGCGAGAGGCUUUUUAAAAAGAAAAAUAAACUACGAAAACACCAAAAAUCUUCAGAAAUUCCACAUAAGAAAAAUUUUUCUCAGAAAUGUUGACAUCAUUGAAUAUUUUCAGGUCAGUGUCCUCAGCACGGUUGAAUUGGUGUGUCUUAAUGUCAGUGGAACAGUGUUGAUUUAUACCUCUUUUAACUUGGGCAUUUUUUAAAUGAACUAACAAACUCUGUGCCAAGGAGCAGCUUGGCAUCCUCAGUUGCAAAGAGCGCAGUCUGAAAUGAGUUAGGCUCCUUUCUUAGAAAAUGAGCUCUUGCUCUUGAACAAUGAUGUUAUUGAUACCUAAAUGUCAUAUGGAAAUUUCAAGGACACUUGGGGCCUUUCUCUUUCCUGACUCCCCAAGACUCAGUCUUAACCCUCGCCAAACUGAAUCACUGGUCAGCAAUUAGCUUUGCAUGUGACCAUUCAGUUCUUUAUUCAUUAUGAGCAGUAAUUAUGACAGGAACACAGAAAAGGCUGUGUUUUCACUCGUUAUCAGCAAGAAGAACGUACUGCCUGUAACACCUUCCUGGCUGGGCCAGUGUGGUUUUAUACUCGCAGGUUAGGCCACAGUCAGCCCAAAUAAUCUCUGCUGACAUUGAGGGAGCUUCUGAGCAGGUGGCGGCGGUCUGCAAAGCUGGUUGGAGACCGAGAGCCUCGUGGCUGGUGAGGCACAUGGUGACUUGCACGUCUGCCACCUGCAAGGCAAGCCCGACUGCUCCCAACACCUGGGGGGAAGGAUUCAGGCCAUUCUCUGGCCAGCCGAAACGGAGACUGGUUUCAUUAACAUCUCUUUAAAGUGCCAUCUGUUCUGGUAUGAAAGCGAGUACAAGCGAAUUUAGAGAUGGGCUGUUUCAGAAGAGGCUAUAGGCUCUUUCAUUCAGCUUCGACCUGAGCUUCACCAGGCGUGUUUUCCAACUGCAGAACCGGAGAACUGAUGGAUGCAGCAGCACUCGGAGUCCUUAGCGGGAAUCCCUAAUCUAAACCAUUUCUGAGCCGUGCCUUGGCAAACAACAUCAGGUUUUUCCAAGAGGGAAGUAUUCAUAUUACCAUGCCUUGUAAAAGCCCUUUGGAUGACCCACCUUGAAACCAUUUCACUUAAGAAGAGCAGGGAAAAGUGCUCUAUGGCAAGGAAAGAAGACUUAAUGAAGCAGUUUUGGCAUUUUUGCCCUAGGCACACCUCACACCUCAGAGGUACAGGCAAGACAACCUCUGUUGCUGCCGUGGCAUUAAAUUGCAUGGUGGGGUCAAGGAAGGGCUUUCUGUCAUUAAAAAAAGAGACAAAUGAAAGCAAAUUUGAUUUGAAUGAAGGCGAGAAAUUUAGUGAAAGGGAACAAAACAGAAUCUGGACAGAUCCUACCUCAAGAUGUGCUGAAAUCAGUGCAAGCCAUUUCACUCAUGUGGACAUGCCCUGCAGCAAGUUUGCAGUUAAAUGUCCAGUUAUGGCCUUUGUUUGGUCCAUGGCCACAGAGAAGCAGAAACUGCUUUUUCUCCCAGAGAAGCAGUUUCUUGCCAAGUAUCCCCACACAAAGAAAACAAACACACGAGAAGGCACCAUCACAGAUACCUAGGGAGAUAAGCUGCAAAAACAUGUGCUCUGGGCAAAAGUGCAAGGUGCAGAAUGUGAGUUCAUGAUCUACAUGUGUUCUUCACUCUGCUUUGUUUAUUUUCACUCGGUUUUGAUGUGUUAAAUUAAGGGAUAGUUCAUGGCCGUAAGUCAUCUUCUUGCUGUUGGAAGCCAAAUAGUGGGAAGCAGGUAUCUUGCACAUCAGAGGCCAGCUGUUUCACAGGGAGACUUCAAAUGGCUGUAGCUCAAAUAUGAGCAGUUGUUCUGUGGCUUAAAAUGUUGAAGUAACUCCAAAGUUUUAGGAACAAAAAUUGCCCUAGGUCUCAACUGCAAAUUAGAAAGGGAUGAAAAUAUCUGAUCCUCAAAGGGCUUCAAUUAUUGAGACCAUUAAACUACUGGGGGUGGGUCUGAGUUUCCGUUUCUGUUUGUAUUAUGCUUCCUGCUUGGGAGACCUCGCUGAGAGCAGGAACAAGCUGUGCAGCACACAAGGCGGCAAAUCAGACGAGACGAUCCCUGCCCUGCCGUUCAGCAGGAUGGAUGGGAAGAAGGAGGUGUCUUCACCUUCCCUCAACCACCGGGAAGCCCAUCUGCCUUUGCCCAGGUGGCCGCGGCAGUCGGGUCUCCCACUGCAUCUCCUUGAGCCUGGACCAUGGCCACUGGCCAUGAGUUAGGCAGAGACGGCGCAGCAGAGCGUCAGGUACGAGUGGUCGGGCAGGGCUUGGCUGUGCUGAGUCCUCCCUUGCCCGCAUCAAGGUGUCAGUGAGCCCCCGGGGAGAUUAUUCUUAUAAAUCUGCAAAAGCAGAGGUUGAAAGCCUCCUGAGGCACAAGUAAGUGAAUCCCAUUAUUUGGAGGUGAAGUGGGUGCUCCCACAACUUACAAAUGAGCAGCCGACCAUUCUUCUUUUCAUUUUCUGGACAUCUUUUCUAUGCAACAGUUGGAUGUGUUACAAAAUUAGUUCAGUAAUGGUCAUAAGUGGUUGUAAAGACGCUUGAAGGAAUUUCAGGUAAAGGCAUGGAGGAUUAUCCUGAAACUCCAGCAGUCUAGCUGUUGGUGUCUGGGAACCAGCAUGCAUUUUUUCUGAUCUGUACUUCUGCAGUGCUGUGAUCUUACUGACAAGAGGAAAUAAAGCAGCACCAGGCAGACAAGGGAAAAUCAUACUUUCUAAAAAACUUUCCCUACUCACAGAGAACCUGACUAUAUGUGACUCACAGUUAUUAGUAUUUUGAAUCCAUCCUUCUUAAAGUGUAGCGAGCCUGUUGAAGCAAUAAAUUCGGUGGGUAGUCACCACUUGGCUAUCGGUGCAUCCAGCGAGUGCAUUGUCAAGCACCAGGCCAAAGGCAGCAGCAAUCAAGGCUACAUCAUGAUCCAGUAAUUUCUGUUGUGUGUUUCAUUGUGGUCAACAUCUUUAUCUUUGGUUUUGUAACAGAAAUUUUAAGGAGACAAGACCCUUCCUGGGGGAGCCUGUUGUAAGCCAAAAUCAUGUCACCAUGCUGCGAUCACAGACAGUGGCUGGGAACCCAAACGCUGUCCAGUGUGUGUGUAAUAAGGAGCACUGGAUUAAGUAAUGCAAAACAAAAAUGAUAUUCACAAAUAAACAGUGAAGUUAUCACUUUGUUAUUUAUGGGUUUCACAGCUUCAGUUGUUCUCUGGCAGUGCUUCCAAGUGAUGAGGUCCACAAAGUUUACCAUGAAGAUGAUUUUCCUCCUGAUGUUCCAGAAGUGAGGUAUUCGCUCCUGGUCACUCAACAUCCAGCUACCCAAGCAAGAAACAGAGGUUUUAAAUCAUCAGAGACACACUGAGGCUUCUAAGAGAUUGAACUAAGCAGUUCUUGAACAUGCCUCACUUGCCAAAAGAGUUUGCAUAAAAUGCAUGCCAGUAAUGAAUGCUUUCAUAGAUUCAUCCAUCAUUGCAAACAGGGAUUGCAAUUUUAUUUCUAAUGAACAACCCAAUCUGUUCAGAAGAAGAAAAAAAAAAAAAAAAAAAAGAGAGAGGAUGGCACUAUGCUGUUUUUCUCAAGAAUUAAUUCCUCUGUACAUUUACCACAACUCACUGGUACCUUUGAUGCCAGCAAAACCACCAAGAUAGAACCAACUACACCACCAAUCACGUUGUUAAUGAACAGCUCACCAGUAAGGUUGUAGCAGUCCUGCAUGUUUUCCCAAAUCCAAUUUAAAGUCAUAACGUACUUUAUUAGCUGCAGACAGAAUAUUUAAAUUCAAAAUAUUUUUUUUCAAGUUUCAUCUUUUGAAAUGGCAAUUGGCAAUAUUCAAGCCACAUGUUGGCCACUUGUUUUUAGGAUACAGGGUGUACCUUAGUACAAACCUUUCUCUGUUUCUUGAAAAAACAACAAUAAAACACCCUUUGCCUUUUAUCCACAUCUGGCUGCAGCAAAAACAGUGACCCAUGGAAUUCAAAAUUUCAUACUUCACUGCUGCAGGCGAAGUCCAGAGGUUAUUCUUGCUGUGUUUGUGAAAGAUGUAGCACUGUCAAGAGGAGAAGUGCUUAUUGAAAAAACACAUGAGGUUUCUGUUUCCAAAAAUUAUGGAAUUAGCCAAUGAUAAGAGACUUUUUAAUGCCCUCUAGCCAUUCAUGGGACUUUAUAAGGAAUAGCUCAGCUGUUAAUUGCAAAACAAAAGUAAACAGUCCAAGUCAGAUCUCAUGUGAGGAGAAUACCACCACCACAGCUCAGCAGAUCUGUGAUUCAGGAGUGUCUCAAAGGGUCUGAAAUUCCAAGGAUACUGUAAGACAUGAAAUAAUGUGAAAUAUUGAAAUAAUUAAAUGAAACAAAAUAUUGUGCAAUACUAAUUUUGAAUUUAACCUUACACUAAAGAUGUUGUAAUAUCAUAAUGAGUCAAGCUUCCUAGGCAUGUUAGGAGGUAAGGAAUUAAUAACUUCUUCCUUGUUACAAGGAAGAGAAUGAUGAAUUUAUGUCACUUUCUGAAAGCCAUCACCCAAAGAUCACCUCUCUCCAUUCCUGAAGGCUAUCAGAUAGAACUUAAUAUUGGUCUAAGCUCAGAAAGUGGGAGUUAUACUCAAAUGCAUAUUCUUCAGUGCUCUUGCUUUGCCAGAGAUAGCACCAUUAUAUAGUUACUAGAAACCCUAUAUAUGAGUUAUGAGUCCAAAGCCUGCCUUUAAUAUUUUGUCAUCUCUCUAACUUAUUGAGGGAAUGCCCAGACUCAUCACUCACAGUGCUGUCCUCCAGCGCAAAGGGGUCUCCUAACGUAAAGCUAGGCCUUUUUGCGAAGGAGAACAUACACACAGCAAACAUAUCUUUGUGGGCCUGGAGGCACCAAAAGCCUAUGGCAGCCUCAGCAUUCCCAAAUGAAUUUUCACUCAUGUAAGAUUUAGGUGUAUAAUGGAGCAAUAAAGUAGCCAGCUGUCCUUAAGUGCA
This is a long non-coding RNA of Dromaius novaehollandiae (emu), 17448 nucleotides long. RefSeq lists it as uncharacterized. The transcript has 7 exons. The record is from RefSeq and is a predicted model, not a curated record. Lineage: Eukaryota; Metazoa; Chordata; Aves; Casuariiformes; Dromaiidae.